UACGGAGGGGGCGAGCGUUGUUCGGAAUUACUGGGCGUAAAGGGCGCGUAGGCGGGAUAUCAAGUCAGGGGUGAAAGUCCUGGGCUCAACCUGGGGACUGCCUUUGAAACUGGUAUUCUUGAGACCGGGAGAGGAUGGCGGAAUUCCCAGUGUAGAGGUGAAAUUCGUAGAUAUUGGGAAGAACACCGGUGGCGAAGGCGGCCAUCUGGACCGGAUCUGACGCUGAGGCGCGAAAGCGUGGGGAGCAAACAGG
Molecule: unclassified non-coding RNA, 253 nt
Filed under: uncultured Alphaproteobacteria bacterium
Lineage: Bacteria; Pseudomonadati; Pseudomonadota; Alphaproteobacteria
Description: contains 16S-23S intergenic spacer region
Rfam family: Bacterial small subunit ribosomal RNA
Source: RNAcentral